CACCAAAUAGUAUACAUAUCAAGAGAAAGUGGUAGAAAUAUAAUAUGAACGAUGAGAAUACCCGUAUUCCCUUCAAACAGGCAAAUUCUUGGCGAACCAACGAAAGUGACUUGCAAGACCUUUGUUAUUUUAAAUGUUAGGGUGACUACUGGCAAUUUAAGCCAGUCUCGGAUAUUUUAUAAUGUUAGGAGCUUCACCAAUCUCUAAAAUCGAGUUUGUAAUGUUUAAAAUCGUUGCAUAUACUUGUUAGAGGAACGGGCCCAGGAAAAAGAGGCGUAGACCAUUAAUCGUGGGGUAUAAAAUGGCAAGGACUUUUCUGGCUUUUCUGCCAGGUAACCCUCUCAGCUAAUUUAUUUUUAAAAAUUGCUAUAUUCUAAACUGGC
Zophobas morio is the source of this 383-nucleotide long non-coding RNA. RefSeq lists it as uncharacterized. The record is from RefSeq and is a predicted model, not a curated record. The transcript is spliced from 4 exons. Lineage: Eukaryota; Metazoa; Arthropoda; Insecta; Coleoptera; Tenebrionidae.